RNAcentral lists this ribosomal RNA (496 nucleotides) under uncultured bacterium. RNAcentral describes it as "partial 16S ribosomal RNA". It matches the Rfam family "Bacterial small subunit ribosomal RNA", at positions 28 to 506 of the family's 1533-position model. The record is from RNAcentral.
GAUGAACGCUGGCGGCGUGCCUAAUACAUGCAAGUCGAGCGAACAGACGAGGAGCUUGCUCCUCUGACGUUAGCGGCGGACGGGUGAGUAACACGUGGAUAACCUACCUAUAAGACUGGGAUAACUUCGGGAAACCGGAGCUAAUACCGGAUAAUAUAUUGAACCGCAUGGUUCAAUAGUGAAAGACGGUUUUGCUGUCACUUAUAGAUGGAUCCGCGCCGCAUUAGCUAGUUGGUAAGGUAACGGCUUACCAAGGCAACGAUGCGUAGCCGACCUGAGAGGGUGAUCGGCCAAACUGGAACUGAGACACGGUCCAGACUCCUACGGGAGGCAGCAGUAGGGAAUCUUCCGCAAUGGGCGAAAGCUUGACGGAGCAACGCCGCGUGAGUGAUGAAGGUCUUCGGAUCGUAAAACUCUGUUAUUAGGGAAGAACAAAUGUGUAAGUAACUAUGCACGUCUUGACGGUACCGAAUCAGAAAGCCACGGCUAACUACGU